AGGGCACCACCAGGAGUGGAGCCUGCGGCUUAAUUUGACUCAACACGGGAAAACUCACCCGGCCCGGACACCGUAAGGAUUGACAGAUUGAGAGCUCUUUCUUGAUUCGGUGGUUGGUGGUGCAUGGCCGUUCUUAGUUGGUGGAGCGAUUUGUCUGGUUUAUUCCGAUAACGAGCGAGACUCUAGCCUACUAAAUAGAUCGUCAGCUUACAAACGCUGGCGAGACUUCUUAGAGGGACAGGCGGUGACUCAACCGCACGAAACAGAGCAAUAACAGGUCUGUGAUGCCCUUAGAUGUCCGGGGCCGCACGCGCGCUGCACUGAAGUGAUCAGCGUGCCUUUUCAGCCUACUCUGUCAAGAGUGGGAAACCCAAUGAACCUUCUUCGUGAUUGGGAUAGGGGAUUGUAAUUAUUCCCCUUGAACGAGGAAUUCCCAGUAAGCGCGAGUCAUAAGCUCGCGUUGAUUACGUCCCUGCCCUUUGUACACACCGCCCGUCGCUACUACCGAUUGAAUGUUUU
RNAcentral lists this ribosomal RNA (519 nucleotides) under uncultured eukaryote. Its description in RNAcentral is "SSU rRNA". It matches the Rfam family "Eukaryotic small subunit ribosomal RNA", at positions 1161 to 1699 of the family's 1831-position model. The record is from RNAcentral.